CCUACGGGUGGCAGCAGUGGGGAAUAUUGGGCAAUGGGCGCAAGCCUGACCCAGCAACGCCGCGUGAAGGAAGAAGGCUUUCGGGUUGUAAACUUCUUUUCUGGGGGACGAACAAAUGACGGUACCCCAGGAAUAAGCCACGGCUAACUACGUGCCAGCAGCCGCGGUAAUACGUAGGUGGCAAGCGUUAUCCGGAUUUAUUGGGUGUAAAGGGCGUGUAGGCGGGAAUGCAAGUCAGAUGUGAAAACUACGGGCUCAACCCAUAGCCUGCAGUUGAAACUGUAUUUCUUGAGUGCUGGAGAGGCAAGCGGAAUGCCGGGUGUAGCGGUGAAAUGCGUAGAUAUAAGGAGGAACACCAGUGGCGAAGGCGGAUUGCCGGACAGUAACUGACGCUGAGGCGCGAAAGCGUGGGGAGCAAACAGGAUUAGAUACCCCUGUAGUC
Molecule: ribosomal RNA, 442 nt
Filed under: uncultured bacterium
Lineage: Bacteria
Description: partial 16S ribosomal RNA
Rfam family: Bacterial small subunit ribosomal RNA
Source: RNAcentral